GUGGAAACGCACGCUAAUACCGCAUACGCCCUACGGGGGAAAGGAGGGGAUCUUCGGACCUUUCGCUAAUAGAUGAGCCUGCGUUGGAUUAGCUAGUUGGUAGGGUAAAGGCCUACCAAGGCGACGAUCCAUAGCUGUUCUGAGAGGAAGAUCAGCCACACUGGGACUGAGACACGGCCCAGACUCCUACGGGAGGCAGCAGUGGGGAAUAUUGGACAAUGGGCGAAAGCCUGAUCCAGCAAUACCGCGUGUGUGAAGAAGGCCUUAGGGUUGUAAAGCACUUUCAAUGGGGAGGAAAAAGAGUAAGUUAAUACCUUGCUUAUUGACAUUACCUAUAGAAGAAGCACCGGCUAACUCCGUGCCAGCAGCCGCGGUAAUACGGAGGGUGCGAGCGUUAAUCGGAAUUACUGGGCGUAAAGAGUGCGUAGGCGGCUCGUUAAGUCAGAUGUGAAAGCCCUGGGCUCAACCUGGGAACUGCAUUUGAAACUGGCGAGCUAGAGUUGAGUAGAGGUAAGUGGAAUUUCAGGUGUAGCGGUGAAAUGCGUAGAUAUCUGAAGGAACACCAGUGGCGAAGGCGACUUACUGGACUCAAACCGACGCUGAGGUACGAACGCCUGGGUAGCAAACAGGAUUAGAUACCCUGGCAGUCC
RNAcentral lists this ribosomal RNA (650 nucleotides) under uncultured bacterium. Its description in RNAcentral is "bacterial SSU rRNA". It matches the Rfam family "Bacterial small subunit ribosomal RNA", at positions 150 to 796 of the family's 1533-position model. The record is from RNAcentral.